RNAcentral lists this unclassified non-coding RNA (291 nucleotides) under Hevea brasiliensis (rubber tree). The record is from RNAcentral. Lineage: Eukaryota; Viridiplantae; Streptophyta; Magnoliopsida; Malpighiales; Euphorbiaceae.
AUAGAUGACCAGAACAAGAAGUGCUUGUUUUACGGAAGCACUUUACAAAAAUCAAUACGCGGUGAUCCACCUUGCAGCACCAUAGAAGCAGCGGAACGUGUUGGUGAGAAACUAGUGCAGGCUUGUGUUGACCUCAACAUCGAUGAAAUUUCAUGUUAUGAUCGAAAUGGUUUUGCUCGAGGAGACAGAAUGCAAGCCUUUGAGAUUGCCAUUUCUCGACAUGGUUUCAUGUUCAAAUAGUUCAUCCUUCUUUUCUAUGUGCAUUUUGUAUAGCCUUUUAAGACUCUGAAG